RNAcentral lists this ribosomal RNA (877 nucleotides) under uncultured bacterium. RNAcentral's name for it is "bacterial SSU rRNA". It matches the Rfam family "Bacterial small subunit ribosomal RNA", at positions 21 to 897 of the family's 1533-position model. The record is from RNAcentral.
GGCUCAGGAUGAACGCUAGCGGCAGGCCUAAUACAUGCAAGUCGAGGGGCAGCAGGAAUAGCAAUAUUUGCUGGCGACCGGCGCACGGGUGCGUAACACGUAUACAAUCUGCCUUUAACAGGGGGAUAGCCCGGAGAAAUCCGGAUUAAUACCCCAUAAUACAGAAGAUGGCAUCAUUUUUUGUUGAAAGCUCCGGCGGUUAAAGAUGAGUAUGCGUCUGAUUAGCUAGUAGGUGAGGUAACGGCUCACCUAGGCGACGAUCAGUAGGGGAUCUGAGAGGAUUAACCCCCACACGGAUACUGAGACACGGAUCCGACUCCUACGGGAGGCAGCAGUAAGGAAUAUUGGACAAUGCCCGCAAGGGUGAUCCAGCCAUGCCGCGUGCAGGAAGACGGCCCUAUGGGUUGUAAACUGCUUUUACACCGGAGAAAACCCCCCUACGUGUAGGGGGCUGAUAGUAUGGUGAGAAUAAGCAUCGGCUAACUUCGUGCCAGCAGCCGCGGUAAGACGAAGGAUGCAAGCGUUAUCCGGAUUCAUUGGGUUUAAAGGGAGCGUAGGCGGCCCGAUAAGUCAGUGGUGAAAUCUCCUGGCUUAACUAGGAAAUUGCCAUUGAUACUGUUGGGCUUGAGUACAGUUGCCGUUGGCGGAAUAUGACAUGUAGUGGUGAAAUACAUAGAGAUGUCAUAGAACACCGAUUGCGAAGGCAGCUAACGAAACUGUAACUGACGCUGAGGCUCGAAAGUGCGGGGAUCAAACAGGAUUAGAUACCCUGGUAGUCCGCACUGUAAACGAUGAUUACUCGCUGCUGGGAGGUAACUUUCAGUGGCUUAGCGAAAGCGAUAAGUAAUCCACCUGGGGAGUACGCCGGCAACGGUGA